This 1346-nucleotide ribosomal RNA is filed under the name uncultured bacterium. RNAcentral's name for it is "partial 16S ribosomal RNA". It matches the Rfam family "Bacterial small subunit ribosomal RNA", at positions 28 to 1381 of the family's 1533-position model. The record is from RNAcentral.
GACGAACGCUGGCGGCGUGCUUAACACAUGCAAGUCGAACGGAAAGGCCCUGCUUUUGUGGGGUGCUCGAGUGGCGAACGGGUGAGUAACACGUGAGUAACCUGCCCUUGACUUUGGGAUAACUUCAGGAAACUGGGGCUAAUACCGGAUAGGAGCUCCUGCUGCAUGGUGGGGGUUGGAAAGUUUCGGCGGUUGGGGAUGGACUCGCGGCUUAUCAGCUUGUUGGUGGGGUAGUGGCUUACCAAGGCUUUGACGGGUAGCCGGCCUGAGAGGGUGACCGGCCACAUUGGGACUGAGAUACGGCCCAGACUCCUACGGGAGGCAGCAGUGGGGAAUAUUGCACAAUGGGCGGAAGCCUGAUGCAGCAACGCCGCGUGCGGGAUGACGGCCUUCGGGUUGUAAACCGCUUUCGCCUGUGACGAAGCGUGAGUGACGGUAAUGGGUAAAGAAGCACCGGCUAACUACGUGCCAUCAGCCGCGGUGAUACGUAGGGUGCGAGCGUUGUCCGGAUUUAUUGGGCGUAAAGGGCUCGUAGGUGGUUGAUCGCGUCGGAAGUGUAAUCUUGGGGCUUAACCCUGAGCGUGCUUUCGAUACGGGUUGACUUGAGGAAGGUAGGGGAGAAUGGAAUUCCUGGUGGAGCGGUGGAAUGCGCAGAUAUCAGGAGGAACACCAGUGGCGAAGGCGGUUCUCUGGGCCUUUCCUGACGCUGAGGAGCGAAAGCGUGGGGAGCGAACAGGCUUAGAUACCCUGGUAGUCCACGCUGUAAACGGUGGGUACUAGGUGUGGGGUCCAUUCCACGGGUUCCGUGCCGUAGCUAACGCUUUAAGUACCCCGCCUGGGGAGUACGGCCGCAAGGCUAAAACUCAAAGGAAUUGACGGGGCCCCGCACAAGCGGCGGAGCAUGCGGAUUAAUUCGAUGCAACGCGUAGAACCUUACCUGGGUUUGACAUGGAUCGGGAGUGCUCAGAGAUGGGUGUGCCUCUUUUGGGGUCGGUUCACAGGUGGUGCAUGGCUGUCGUCAGCUCGUGUCGUGAGAUGUUGGGUUAAGUCCCGCAACGAGCGCAACCCUUGUUCACUGUUGCCAGCACGUUAUGGUGGGGACUCAGUGGAGACCGCCGGGGUCAACUCGGAGGAAGGUGGGGAUGACGUCAAGUCAUCAUGCCCCUUAUGUCCAGGGCUUCACGCAUGCUACAAUGGCUGGUACAGAGAGUGGCGAGCCUGUGAGGGUGAGCGAAUCUCGGAAAGCCGGUCUCAGUUCGGAUUGGGGUCUGCAACUCGACCUCAUGAAGUCGGAGUCGCUAGUAAUCGCAGAUCAGCAACGCUGCGGUGAAUACGUUCCCGGGGCU